UACGGGGGGAGCAAGCGUUGUUCGGAUUUACUGGGCGUAAAGGGCGCGUAGGCGGCCACUGCAAGUCAGUUGUGAAAUCUCCGGGCUUAACCCGGAAAGGUCAACUGAUACUGCAGGGCUAGAGUGCAGAAGGGGCAACUGGAAUUCUCGGUGUAGCGGUGAAAUGCGCAGAUAUCGGGAAGAACACCCGUGGCUAAGGCGGCUCUCUAGUACGGUACUGACGCUGAGACGCGAAAGCGUGGGGAGCGAACAGG
This 254-nucleotide ribosomal RNA is filed under the name uncultured bacterium. RNAcentral's name for it is "partial 16S ribosomal RNA". It matches the Rfam family "Bacterial small subunit ribosomal RNA", at positions 524 to 776 of the family's 1533-position model. The record is from RNAcentral.